Molecule: long non-coding RNA, 1278 nt
Filed under: Homo sapiens (human)
Lineage: Eukaryota; Metazoa; Chordata; Mammalia; Primates; Hominidae
Description: HSALNT0197180
Source: RNAcentral
AUAUUCCCUCUCCCCACGCUCUAGAGAUCCUGAUUUAAUUUCUCUGGGGUGGAGCCUGCACAUUUGUAUUUUUUAGGUUAUGCACUUUAUUCUAAUGUGUAGUGUGGAUUCAGAACAGCUCGUCUAAAAUGAAGGGUCUGCAGAGACCGAUGUACGGGGUGCCAGAGGGAAACCACGUGUGAGAGAACAAGGCCUUCAUGCUUUGUAAGAGAGGACAGAACCAGAUCACAAGGGCUACUUAAAAAAGCCCUCCUCUUGCUUUGCAUUCUUCCAGGACCUGCAACCGGUGAUUGAACUACCAGUUUCUGAAGGCCACCCAUUCACACCUAUUUCCCGCUACUCCAGGUGGAAAUUGAAAAUGUAUCUCGCUGACCUCAAGGGAUGAUAUUCAGGAGCUUCAGGGAAUCUUCAGCUAAUGGGAGAAGCACAAGCAGAUUAAUGGAUCCCAAAGACAAAAUGCCUAUCCUAGCUCAAAUGACAUCUCGUGGAUCUUGAAAAGUGGAGCUUUCUGUGCCCAUCUUCAGAAAGAGACAUCAGACAAUCUUAACAUUUCUGCAGCUGAACAUGGGAUGAGAAGAGGGCAAUCUUCCAGUGGGUCCACCACAUUUUCUUUCCAAUUGAGCCAAUUCAUGGUCUCUUCUGGCAACUGCAAGGCCAGAUGUGAAUUUACCACUUUAUUGAGUGAAGCGGUCUGGGCAUUGUGAGACUCACAUAUGCACCCAGAGGGGAAGGGACCCUCACUCUGGGAAUGGAAAUCAAUUCAUAAUUGUACCCAGACAAAUGGGGCACACACUUCAGAUCUAUUACAGGAUUUAGUCGGAAUCAGAAGAACAAAGGCAUAAAGUAGAAACACAUUCAUAUGCCAGGCACAGGUAGGGGCUGGGGAGGGUAGAAAGUCCAGGGUUCCUGGCCGGCGAAGAAGGGCUCUGCUCAGCAUCUCAUGCUGGAGUGCAAGAGUAUAAAAUAAGGUAACUAAGGACAUGAAGCUUGGCCGCCUGCACCAUUUGAAAAAAGAAAAAUCAAACUGUGUUUUAUGAGUUUUUCUGGCUGAGUGGGCUGAUGGUAAAAGUGAUUGCAUAAGUGAAUAAAUUGAAAUAUGUAUCCUGGUUGUGUCAAAAGCAAAAAUAAUUAUUUUGUUCUUGGUGAGAUAUAGUGUUUAACUGCCAACACAUCAACCCAAAUAAAAAGGAAAUCUGCCUUUAGAUCUAGUAAUACAUUUAUUAACAAAUGAUGUAUCUGAAUUAUCCAUCGUUUUGAUCCACAUUUUGCAGAAAGGCA